Molecule: ribosomal RNA, 509 nt
Filed under: uncultured bacterium
Lineage: Bacteria
Description: bacterial SSU rRNA
Rfam family: Bacterial small subunit ribosomal RNA
Source: RNAcentral
CUACGUGCCAGCAGCCGCGGUAAUACGUAGGUGGCAAGCGUUGUCCGGAAUUAUUGGGCGUAAAGCGCGCGCAGGCGGAUCAGUCAGUCUGUCUUAAAAGUUCGGGGCUUAACCCCGUGAGGGGAUGGAAACUGCUGAUCUAGAGUAUCGGAGAGGAAAGUGGAAUUCCUAGUGUAGCGGUGAAAUGCGUAGAUAUUAGGAAGAACACCAGUGGCGAAGGCGACUUUCUGGACGAAAACUGACGCUGAGGCGCGAAAGCCAGGGGAGCGAACGGGAUUAGAUACCCCGGUAGUCCUGGCCGUAAACGAUGGGUACUAGGUGUAGGAGGUAUCGACCCCUUCUGUGCCGGAGUUAACGCAAUAAGUACCCCGCCUGGGGAGUACGACCGCAAGGUUGAAACUCAAAGGAAUUGACGGGGGCCCGCACAAGCGGUGGAGUAUGUGGUUUAAUUCGACGCAACGCGAAGAAUCUUACCAGGUCUUGACAUUGAUGGACAGAACUAGAGAUAG